CUGAAUGCCAGAAUAUGAAAACAUUCUCAGAAGGAAUAAUAGAUGCGCCAUUAUUAGAGGGGAUUAAAACUUCAACAGAGGAUACUGACUUAACCUCCCACCAUGAUCUCAACACCACAAUCCAGACCUUGUUUCACCAACAGGUCAGGAAUCAUUAUCCACCAAAUUCAAUUGUUAUUUGUUUAUAUCUCUAAACAUAGGGGGCAUGCUAAUUAACCAAUGUCUCAACAAUAUUGAUUAAAAAAUUCGAGUUAAAAUAUGUUUGUAACUUUAAAUAAAUAUCUAAAAUUUGUGUUUGAUUCUUAAUAAUAUUUUUUUUGUGUGUGUCAUAAGUUUUUUUUUUUUUGUUAUUGGUCCUUCAUAUUUUUUAUAAUUCCUAAUAAAUUUAUAUUUAUUUGUUUAUUAUUUUUUAUUUUAGUAUUUUUUUUUAAAAUGACUAAUAACAAAUACAAAAAAUUUAUUUGGGAGUAAACAAAAACAAAUUUCUUAAUUUAUAAGACACUAAAAAAGAAUCAUUGACCAAAAAUAAGAUUGUUAUUUUAUUAAAGAUUCAAUAUAAUUUUAUUUUCCUUUUAAUUCCUUAAAUAAUGUCCUAAAAAUACUAGUUAAUCAAACCUUUAUUUUAAAAUGUACACUCUCGUUCUUUCCCUUGUACUUUAGGUAAUUUUUAAUGUAUAUAAUAUCUUAAUAGUUGUGAAUAAAUAUGAGUUAGUGUGUCUCCCAAUUAUAUAUUAUCUUUUUCUACCACUUUUAAUGUGACCACCAACUAAUUUUUAAAAACCUAUAUAUUGUUGAUCAUAAUUUUUUUAUAAAGUAGAAUGAAACUUUAAAUAUUUUUAUUAUCACCAAUGAAUUAAGUCUAAUAAAAGAGCUUAAUCGAUGUAAUAAAUUAAUUAUAUAUGUUUCAAAUUAUUGAUAAAAUAGAUGUUCACAUUUAUUAUCUGACUUAGUUUUAAAUAGAAUUGUCUCUAAAUUAAAAACUAAAAAAUAUCUCUUUAAUUGCUUAUGAAAUUUCAUCUUCUAAUCAAAGUCACAAAAUUCAUAUCAUAUGUUCGAAAUUUGUAGAUCAUGGUGAGGAUAACUGCAAGAGAAUUAUUAGUUUAAAAAAAAAACUCAUUUACAUGAUAUAGACUGAAUUAUAAUACUUAUUUAUCUUUCAAGGAAGGAGAGUGUAUAUUUUAAAAUAAGAGUGAAAGUGAAUAUAAUUUAAGCUUCUCUAGGAUAGCAGAAGGAGAUUUACUCUAAAAUAUUUCUUACGGCAUACAUUACUUACUACAUUAAAAACUUGUCAUGAUGAUAUCUUUGUUUGCUUUUACCAACACUUGUUUGAUCUUUUACCAAUAGGUUGUGUCAUAAAUCAAUAUCUCAAAAGUUUAUUUGUUUUGGACAAAGACAUACAUAUGGUUUUAUAUAUUAUAUCUCUAAUUUGCCUUUGAAUCCCUUUGAUUAGCUUGAAAUGUGGAUAAUACAAUCCAUCUACGACCUUUAGACUCUAAUACUUACUUACAAUAUAUAUCAUGAACCAAUAAUUAAUGUCACAAGAUUAAGAUUAAGCUGUUGCGUAAAGGCACAUGAAUGAUUUUAAUUAAUAAUAUAUCUCAUAUAUUAAAUUUUAAAUACAUUUUCAUUAUUACAAUGGCUAUUGUGAGAAUAACAUAUUUAUAAUGUUCUUAUUAAGUUCUAUUUGACUUAUUAUAAUUAAUAAAUUUUGUGUUUGUUAUUUUAUAAUAAUUUUUUUUCAUUGGCUCUCCUAUAAAAUAAUAAUUUUAUUUCUAUUCUUGGUAUCGUUUUUUAAUCACUAAUGAACUUUUUUUUAUAACCUGAUAUUUUUUUUCAUGUUAUUAAACAAAAAAUUAAUAAUUUAUCAUCAACUAAAAAAGGUGUCAUAAACAAAAAUAAAACUUUUGUUUUAUUAGGAAUUCAAUACAAAGAACAAUAUUUAUUAAAAAAUAAAUAUAAAAUUUAAAUAUUUAUUGAGGAUCUAAAAUAUAUUUUACCCUAAUAUAAAUGUGAGAAAAAAGGAUAAGAGAGCUACCUUAUAGAAAGAAAUUAAGUAUCUAAAUGGACCAAAAAGAUACAGCAGUCAAAUUCGUUGUAUUUGACCCGUGUAACAAGACAAAGGAUAAGGUUCAUAAUCUCCACCAUGGGUAACACAUGUUUUGAAACUUCAAACACAUUUUUUGGAAGCUUAAAACAAAAGAAUACAUUUUUAUCCUACUUAAAUUGUAAAGAAAAAAUGAAAACUUAAAUUAGAGUAAGAUCAACUUCUAUGAAUAUCCAUUUUUAUCCUCUAACUUUUUAUCUUUAUCAAUAUUUUAAUUUUUUAAUCCAUGUUUUUUUGUUAUUGCUAAUACCUUGAAGAUAGUUUAGACCAUGUCUAUUAGGACAAAACCCAGCCUUUUCACUCUUUUUUUUUUUUUUUUUAUCGUAGGCUAGUUGAGUUCAAUUUCAAUUUUAUUUUGUUUCCUCUUCACCUUCCAUUAUUUUAUUUAUAACUCAACACAAUUUUUCUUGCCUUUUUCUUUUUAUUUAUAUAUUAUUUUAUUUGUGUCUUCUUAAACCAAAAUUUAACCACAAUUGUUAUUUUCACUCAUCUUUACACACUAUGACACUUCCUUUCUUAUUUUAUACCAAAAUUACCUUGCUAAACACUAUCAUCCUCUUUCUCUUCUCUUUCUUCAGAAAAGAAAAGAAAAAGAAAAAAGGCACUCCCCUCCACAACUCUAGUAACACAUUUGACAAAUGUGAAUGAUCUUAUUAUAAUUUGCUCAUUUUUUUAAAACAAAAUACUUAUGAGAGUAGUACAAAAUAAAGAAAUAUAUUUUGAAGCAAAUUUGUUCAUGCGCGUGCCUGUCGAUAACAAAACAACUCUUAACUCAACCAUUUUUGGAUGUCUUGAAUUUUUAUAUAUAGAAUAUUUCACUAAAGCAUGGAUGUAUCUCAACCUUAUUUUUGCUUGGGUGUUUAAUUCUUAAUCUUGUUAUAUGAUAUUAUUAAGAGAAAACAAAAGGACACCAUAAGGAAUGCCCCUUCUAGAACAUACAAUGCAUGUACACAACUCAGGAUAACAUACACUUACAAAAAGAUACUCACUAAAAUAAGUUACACUAAAAGAACACAAUUUUACAAAUAAAAAAAUGCUACAGAAAUAAAAAAAAACUGAUAUAUUAUUUAUAAUAAAAAAUACCGAUAAUUUUUUAUAUUUUAGAAAUCUACUGGAGGUCCCAAACAGCUCCCUUAAUUUUACUCAACCUUUUCAUACUAAUUGGGCAUAUUAACCCAAAAUAUUAUGUUAAAGUAUAAUUGGAUAUCUAAAGCCUUAUGUUUUUUUAUUUUUUAUAAGAGGAGCACAAAACAUUCUAUCAACCUUCUUUUCUUUUCUCUUCUCUUCUAUUUUUUUUUUAAUAUUUUGGGCGGGCAUGAGCUGUUAUAUUUUGGGCUUACAUGAGCUGAAAAGUUAUGUUAUCUUUUCUCCUUAUCUUUUCGUUUCAUUACAAUUUUCUUACCAUGUGGGUCAUAGACCUUUAGUCACUAUUUUAUUCCCAUUUUGGUCUUUCUACAUUUUAGACCAUUGGAAUCCAUUCUAAAAAUAAUAAAGAAAAUAACUCCUCUAGCCCAAAUAUUAAAAGAUGCUCUUACUUUAAAUUACAUGUAUAAACUUAUUUCUAUUAGACUCGUACAAAAAUAAUAUAUCAAAAUAAAGCGCAAAAUUUAAUUAAAAAACAAAAAUGAGAAUUUGAAAUUUAACAAGAGAUAAUUGUAGAUAUCUCAAUUAAGGAGGCACAUGCAUAUAUAGUUUUCUACAAUCAAAUGUAAAUCCAAGUGGUACACACGAGACUUGUCAAGUAUCUGACGUUGAGUUUCUCUGGCUUUGAAGGUAUUUUUUGAAUAUUCAAAGCAAAUGAUCCUUGUCGAUUACCUUGAGACAACGGGUGUUAGGCGCGCCAAACCUGCUUUUCUGAAGAAUUUCUUUGGCAGUUUAAAGAAAUUAGAAUUUGAUGGAGCCAUUAAAAGAGAGAUUGUAAUUCCAUCUCAUGUACUUCCUUACUUGAAGACCUUAGAAGAAUUCAAUGUACAUAGCUCCGAUGCAGCGCAGGUAAUAUUUGACAUAGAUGACACUGAUGCCAACACCAAGGGAAUGCUCCUUCCAUUGAAAAAGCUUACUCUAGAAAGCUUGUCAAAUUUGAAAUGUGUAUGGAACAAAACCUCCCGAGGAAUUCUCAGCUUUCCCGAUUUGCAAUAUGUGGAUGUUCAAGUUUGUAAAAACUUGGUGACACUGUUCCCUUUGUCCCUUGCCCGAAAUGUUGGGAAGCUUCAGACCCUUGUAAUACAGAACUGUGACAAGUUGGUAGAAAUUAUUGGAAAGGAAGAUGCGACGGAACAUGCAACAACUGAAAUGUUUGAAUUCCCAUUUUUGUUGAAGUUGCUUCUUUUUAAGCUGUCACUGCUUAGUUGCUUUUAUCCUGGGAAACACCAUCUGGAAUGCCCCGUAUUAGAAAGCUUGGGUGUGUCCUAUUGUCCUAAGUUGAAGCUAUUCACAUCAGAAUUUCACAAUGAUCACAAAGAAGCAGUUACAGAGGCUCCAAUUAGCCGGCUACAACAACAACCUCUGUUCUCAGUUGAUAAGGUGACAAAGCAUUAUCAGUUAAACUUUCUGUGCUUCCUUUUUUUCUUAAUUUCAUAUUAUAUUUUCCUCCUUCUAACUACCACCUUACAUUUUCUUUUGAAUUUGUUUGGCCUUGCUAGAUUGUUCCCAAUCUGAAGAGCUUGACACUCAAUGAGGAAAACAUUAUGUUGUUGAGCGAUGCACGUUUGCCACAAGACCUCCUUUUCAAAUUAACUUGUCUUGAUCUAUCCUUUGAUAAUGAUGGCAUUAAGAAAGAUACUUUGCCUUUUGAUUUCCUUCAGAAGGUACCCAGCUUAGAACAUCUUCGAGUGGAAAGAUGCUAUGGUCUGAAGGAGAUAUUUCCCUCUCAGAAACUCCAAGUUCAUGACCGUUCACUUCCCGCAUUGAAACAAUUAACACUGUUAGAUCUUGGAGAGCUGGAGUCGAUAGGGUUAGAGCAGCACCCAUGGGUUAAGCCAUACUCUGAAAAGCUUCAAAUAUUAACUCUUUGGGGGUGCCCUCGAUUAGAAAAUUAGUGAGCUGUGCAGUGUCUUUCAUCAAUCUGAAAGACUUGGAAGUGAUCGACUGUAAUGGGAUGGAGUAUUUAUUGAAAUGCUCAACUGCCAAAAGUUUGAUGCAACUUGAGAGCCUAUCUAUACGAGAAUGUGAAUCAAUGAAGGAAAUAGUAAAAAAAGAAGAAGAAGAUGGUUCUGAUGAGAUCAUAUUUGGAGGCCUCAGAAGAAUAAUGUUGGAUUCAUUACCAAGGCUAGUCGGGUUUUAUUCAGGGAAUGCCACUUUGCAUUUCAAGUGUUUGGAAGAAGCCACGAUUGCUGAAUGCCAGAAUAUGAAAACAUUCUCAGAAGGAAUAAUAGAUGCGCCAUUAUUAGAGGGGAUUAAAACUUCAACAGAUGAUACUGAUCACUUAACCUCCCACCAUGAUCUCAACACCACAAUCCAGACCUUGUUUCACCAACAGGUAAGCAAUUCAUUAUCCAAAUUCAAUUCUUAUUUAGUUAUAUCUAAGUAUAGGGUCAUGCUAAUUAACCAAUGUCUGUUGUUGAUUACAAAAUUUAGG
This 5681-nucleotide long non-coding RNA is filed under the name Glycine max (soybean). RNAcentral's name for it is "long non-coding RNA (GMAX_LNC004218)". The record is from RNAcentral. Lineage: Eukaryota; Viridiplantae; Streptophyta; Magnoliopsida; Fabales; Fabaceae.